RNAcentral lists this long non-coding RNA (212 nucleotides) under Capsicum annuum. Its description in RNAcentral is "long non-coding RNA (CANN_LNC021789)". Lineage: Eukaryota; Viridiplantae; Streptophyta; Magnoliopsida; Solanales; Solanaceae. The record is from RNAcentral.
CUAGCUCCUAAGGCUAGAUUCACGAGCCCUAAAGGGGUCACCACCCUAAUGGAAGCAAACAAAGAUCGUAGCACAGUCUUUGUUCCAAAGGCUCUAGUCUGGGAUGAUAUCCUACAUAGUAAUGAUUGGCAUUUUGAGGCUAUCACCCACCCUGUCCGGAGUUACUCCGAACGAUCUCAAAUCGAAAGGGUGAUUCAACACCCUGAUGGAUC